RNAcentral lists this ribosomal RNA (497 nucleotides) under uncultured bacterium. RNAcentral describes it as "partial 16S ribosomal RNA". It matches the Rfam family "Bacterial small subunit ribosomal RNA", at positions 28 to 507 of the family's 1533-position model. The record is from RNAcentral.
GAUGAACGCUGGCGGCGUGCCUAAUACAUGCAAGUCGAGCGAACGGACGAGAAGCUUUCUUCUCUGAUGUUAGCGGCGGACGUGUGAGUAACACGUGGAUAACCUACCUAUAAGACUGGGAUAACUUCGGGAAACCGGGGCUCAUACCGGCUAAUAUUUUGAACAGCAUGGUUCAAAAGUGAAAGACGGUCUUGCUGUCACUGAUAGAUGGAUCCGCGCUGCAUUAGCUAGUUGGUAAGGUAACGGCUUACCAAGGCAACGAUGCAUAGCUGGCCUGAGAGGGUGAUCGGCCACACUGGAACUGAGACACGGUCCAGACUCCUACGGGAGGCAGCAGUAGGGAAUCUUGCGCAAUGGGCGAAAGCCUGACGGAGCAACGCCGCGUGAGUGAUGAAGGUCUUCGGAUCGUAAAACUCUGUUAUUAGGGAAGAACAUAUGUGUAAGUAACUGUGCACAUCUUGACGGUACCUAAUCAGAAAGCCACGGCUAACUACGUG